CGUCAAAUCAUCAUGGCCCUUAUGCCCAGGGCUACACACGUGCUACAAUGGCCGGUACAACGGGUUGCGAACCCGCGAGGGGGAGCCAAUCCCGAAAAGCCGGUUCCAGUUCGGAUCGCAGGCUGCAACUCGCCUGCGUGAAGCCGGAAUCGCUAGUAAUCGCGGAUCAGAAUGCCGCGGUGAAUACGUUCCCGGGCCUU
RNAcentral lists this ribosomal RNA (200 nucleotides) under uncultured organism. RNAcentral describes it as "partial small subunit ribosomal RNA". It matches the Rfam family "Bacterial small subunit ribosomal RNA", at positions 1183 to 1382 of the family's 1533-position model. The record is from RNAcentral.